This is a non-coding RNA of Salmo salar (Atlantic salmon), 54 nucleotides long. NCBI's taxonomy places the organism in Eukaryota, Metazoa, Chordata, Actinopteri, Salmoniformes, Salmonidae. The record is from Rfam.
UGCAUUCACUACUGUAAGUCACUCUGGAUAAGAGCGUCUGCUAAAUGACAAUGU